Molecule: transfer RNA, 72 nt
Filed under: Camelus bactrianus (Bactrian camel)
Lineage: Eukaryota; Metazoa; Chordata; Mammalia; Artiodactyla; Camelidae
Also listed under: 2 other names
Rfam family: tRNA
About the family: Transfer RNA (tRNA) molecules are approximately 80 nucleotides in length. Their secondary structure includes four short double-helical elements and three loops (D, anti-codon, and T loops). Further hydrogen bonds mediate the characteristic L-shaped molecular structure. tRNAs have two regions of fundamental functional importance: the anti-codon, which is responsible for specific mRNA codon recognition, and the 3' end, to which the tRNAs corresponding amino acid is attached (by aminoacyl-tRNA synthetases). tRNAs cope with the degeneracy of the genetic code in two manners: having more than one tRNA (with a specific anti-codon) for a particular amino acid; and 'wobble' base-pairing, i.e. permitting non-standard base-pairing at the 3rd anti-codon position.
Source: Rfam by way of RNAcentral
GGGGGUAUAACUCAGUGGCAGAGCGUGUGCUUAGCAUGCAUGAGGUCUUGGGCUCAAUCCCCAGCACCUCCA